UCACAAUGCAUAAUGCGUCACGUGGUCAGAAUAGAAUAUCAGCACUAUUAGCAUUAAUGGUUAGUAAUAAACAGUGGAUCCAUUAAAGGAGAUAAAACCGACGUUACCACCACUUACAUAAUGCUAUUACAGAUAGUACAAGUUCUAGUGUGUAUUGCUUCAUCCUUCACUGCCUUAUUGAUCACGUCACAGUAGCUGUUUGUCGUGCGCCUAUACAAGAUGAAAAUACUGCAAUUGUUAAUAUCCGCCAUAUUUCUUAUAUCCUGCAUUAUCAUAGUUGCGGCAAUAAACAUGGACUAACGAUCUGGCUUCAACUGGCUUUGGUUAUGAACAUUAACGUCUGCGACAUGUCUGCAUAUCCGAAAGUGCGCUAGGCCAUGAGAACACUCAGAACGUAAACCACCAGUGAACAUUAUCAAUAAUGCAAUCACUUGUCAAGGCGUGGUCUAAAGAUCUGGCUGCGACCGACUUUGGGUAUGAAAAUUAACGACUUCGACAUGUCUGCAUCUCCGAAACUGCACUAGGCCAUGAGAACAUUCCGAAUGUGAAAUACCAGUUAACAAUGAGCAUUACCAAUAUAUCACUUGUCAAUGUCUUACAAAUAAAUAUGAUCUAAUCAA
Long non-coding RNA from Homalodisca vitripennis (glassy-winged sharpshooter), 620 nucleotides. RefSeq lists it as uncharacterized. NCBI's taxonomy places the organism in Eukaryota, Metazoa, Arthropoda, Insecta, Hemiptera, Cicadellidae. The record is from RefSeq and is a predicted model, not a curated record. The transcript is spliced from 3 exons.